Molecule: long non-coding RNA, 1614 nt
Organism: Papio anubis (olive baboon)
Lineage: Eukaryota; Metazoa; Chordata; Mammalia; Primates; Cercopithecidae
Source: Ensembl
ACUUCACCACAGUGGGAAAAGGGUGGCGACAAAUGGAUUCUGCAUAAUCUUCUUAAUGUGACAACUUUCCAUUUCAAACAGGCAGGCACUGAGACAUCAAAGCAGCCAAGUGCCGCCCUGACGUUGAGCCCACCGAGUGCUGAGUGCCGCGUGCCGCGAGGCUGCUGCUGUUGGCUCUGCGUGAUCAGGAGAGCGGAGAUCAAAGGUGCCCAUUAUGUGCUGAAAUACCUGAAGUUGGAAAACACCACAAGAAAGCCAAGGUCAGCCUGGAGAGAGGACCCUGCCAGCUGCACACCCGGGGAGGACUGCUCAGGCAGCUCCACAUGCUGCCAGCCUUGCGUGAAAGGGUUUUUGGCACGACAGUGUUGGCGGCUGCAGUUGCUCCCCAGAGCCUGACAGCAGACUUCAGAGGCCAGAGAAAAAUCUACAUAAGCACAAGGCCAGAGCCUCCUCCAUAUGCAUGACUGGUGAUCAGGAAGCCUUUCAAUAAUGCAUUAGACCAGGACAGAAAACCAAAAAAUGUACUCUGAAGUAGAAACAGACAAAGUAUAAAGCGAGGCACUAGGAAACAGUGACUACAGAAUGAAUGUUAAGGAAGCACCUCAUUGUGCCUUCUCCCCGUGUCUGGGCAGCACAAGGCUUCCUCUCGCACAGGGGCAGCUGCGUUCGUCCUGUGGUGGGCUGCUAAGUCAGAAAUUCAUAGUGUCCCAGCUCCCCACAAAGCAAAGGGCAUCUGUUCUUGGCUGACAUGUAUGGAACCUAACUCUAGACAGGCCGAGGGCAAAUGGCUUCCUCAUUCCACUGGUGGGGGAGUCCUGGUUUGUUUUUGGCUGCUAUAACGGAAUACUAUAGACUGGGUAAUUCAUAAAUGAAAGAAGUUUAUUGGGCUCAUGGUUCUGGAGGCUGGGAAGUCCAAGAACACGGUACCAACAUCCAGUAAGAACCUUCAGGCUGCAUCAUAACAGGAUUUGUGGCCUGGAUUUGUGGCCUGCUGGUCUCAGAGGUUGGUGGCCAGAGACUGGACAGGGUAGGCUUAGAGCUACUUCUUUUCCUUACUAGUAAUGUCCCUGGGCCUGUUUUUUCCUUUGUAAAGUGAGAAUAAAAACCCUGUAGGUUGCUGUGAGGGUGAAAGAGAAUGUGUAAAUUGUUUCAAGAGAAGGUGCAUGAGAAAACACUGCAGGACAGAACCUCACCCCUGAAUUCUGGCUCUCCAGGACUCCCACGGGCACACCGUGGUCCCACUUCCACCUUGGAAUGUGAGGAGGGAGUGGAGGAACCAGCGAGGGGCAGGAGUCAGGCCUUGCACACGCACGCACACACACUUGCAUGAGUGCACAUUCGGAAACACACCCAGACUCAGGCACACACACACACACACACACUGCAUACACUGAAGACUCACAUACACCUUCUCUCUAGACACGAUCAAACUCAGGCACACGUAAACACACUCCCACAGAUGCCCACUCACACACCCUCGCUCACACGGAGCGUGGCCCUCCGACAUGGGCCUUCAUAGCCUGCGGUAGCAGCUUCCUCUCUCCUGGGCUCACGGGUCCCCACCGGGUCUGGCCCCUCCGGCCUGUGUCCCCCGACCCCCAAUCUUUGCGGGAG